GGCAAACGGGUUAGUAAUGCGCAGGAAUGUACCCUUGUGUCGAGCAUAAUUCACCGAAAGGUGGAAUAAUUCUCGAUGGUCUCUUCGGAGUAAAGAUUUAUCGCACAAGGAGCAGCCUGUGUCCUAUCAGCUAGUUGGCGGGGUAAAAGCCCACCAAGGCGACGACGGGUAGGGGACGUGAGAGCGUGACCCCCAACAUUGGCACUGAGACACUGGCCAAACACCUACGGGUGGCUGCAGUCUAGAAUCUUCGGCAAUGGGCGAAAGCCUGACCGAGCGACGUCGCGUGGAGGAUGAAGGCCCUUGGGUCGUAAACUCCUUUUAUAAGGGAAGAACUUCGGUGACGGUACCUUAUGAAUAAGAGGUUGCUAACUCUGUGCCAGCAGCAGCGGUAAUACAGAGACCUCAAGCGUUAUCCGGAUUCAUUGGGCGUAAAGGGUGAGUAGGCGGAUAUAAUAGUCAAAAGUCAAAUCAUUUCGCUCAACGGAAUGACUGCUUUUGAAACGUUAUAUCUGGAAACAGGUAGAGGUAAACGGAACUCAUGGUGUAGCAGUGAAAUGCGUUGAUAUCAUGGGGAACACCAAAGGCGAAGGCAGUUUACUGCACCUUGUUUGACGCUGAAUCACGAAAGCGUGGGUAGCGAACGGGAUUAGAUACCCCGGUAGUCCACGCCCUAAACGAUGUGCACUAGACAUUGGGGAGUUUCGACCCUCUCAGUGCCGUAGCUAACGCGUUAAGUGCACCGCCUGGGAAGUACGGCCGCAAGGCUAAAACUCAAAGGGAUAGAACGGGGAUCGCACAAG
Molecule: ribosomal RNA, 803 nt
Filed under: uncultured bacterium
Lineage: Bacteria
Description: bacterial SSU rRNA
Rfam family: Bacterial small subunit ribosomal RNA
Source: RNAcentral